AUUGAACGCUGGCGGCAGGCCUAACACAUGCAAGUCGAGCGGACGAAGGGAGCUUGCUCCUGGAUUCAGCGGCGGACGGGCGAGUAAUGCCUAGGAAUCUGCCCUGCAAUGGGGGAUAACGUCAGGACACGGGCGCUAAUACAGCAUCCGUCCUGAGGGUGAAAGUGGGGGAUCUUCGGACCUCACGCUAUUAGAUGAGCCUAGGUCGGAUUAGCUAGUUGGUGGGGUAAAGGCCUACCAAGGCGACGAUCCGUAACUGGUCUGAGAGGAUGAUCAGUCACACUGGAACUGAGACACGGUCCAGACUCCUACGGGAGGCAGCAGUGGGGAAUAUUGGACAAUGGGCGAAAGCCUGAUCCAGCCAUGCCGCGUGUGUGAAGAAGGUCUUCGGAUUGUAAAGCACUUUAAGUUGGGAGGAAGGGCAGUAAGUUAAUACCUGGCUGUUUUGACGGUACCAACAGAAUAAGCACCGGCUAACUUCGUG
Molecule: ribosomal RNA, 484 nt
Filed under: uncultured bacterium
Lineage: Bacteria
Description: partial 16S ribosomal RNA
Rfam family: Bacterial small subunit ribosomal RNA
Source: RNAcentral